Catharus ustulatus (Swainson's thrush) is the source of this 1077-nucleotide long non-coding RNA. RefSeq lists it as uncharacterized. The record is from RefSeq and is a predicted model, not a curated record. The transcript has 3 exons. NCBI's taxonomy places the organism in Eukaryota, Metazoa, Chordata, Aves, Passeriformes, Turdidae.
AGCUGCCUCAACUGAUCAAGAUGCAGAGGGAGGUCUGAAGCUACCCUUUUGUGAUAGCAGUGAAUGUUGCCUUGGAGCCAGAAGCGUGUCUGUUUCACCAUGCAAUUCUCUUUACUCCAGUGCUUUCAGCUAUAAGAACCAAGUCAGAUAAUGGCUCAAAGUGGUAAGUAUUCCAUAAAUGGGCAUUACUUGGAAUUUGGUUGUUUUUUUUCCUGUUGACUUUAGUCUGCUUAAGGAGUAGUAGAAAGAGGCUAAUGAAUAUUGCUUAGAGCUAUAAGGCUUCCAGUUUAUUGUAAAAUAUGCUGAAACAGGAUUAUUGGUGCAUUUGUAAUCCCGGUGGUGAACUGUUCUGCUCUGGAGCACAACUUUUCUGCAUGGGAGCAUAGCGUAACCAUUAUUUUAAGAAUAAGAAUGGUACAAAUUUUGGAAAAAAAGUUUUCAAACGAGUCUGCAUUGCAGCACUGUACUCUCCUUUACUUCUUACUCUGCUUUGAGUGAGGUUUAUGUCAGAGUGAGAGAUCUCUCUGUCAAAUGUUCCCUCAAGUGGAAGAGCACAUCAAACCCACACACGUCCACCUGUACCCAGCAAGUUGUUGUGCUGGAUGUCCAGAUGAUGGGGUUUGCUCAUGGGGGUCUAUGCCAGCAGCAUACUGAAGUGGUUAAAACUUCCUCUUCUGUAGCCCUGCCAAGGGAACAUGCCAGCCAAUGAAGCCUUCCUCAAAACCACCUUUACUGGAUGUCUCCUGCUUAGGAGACCAUUUCUGACAUGUGCAUCAAUACCUUUAGCUACUCUCAAGACCACUUAGUAGAAAACCUGUUUGUCCUGCUGCUUCUUAGGUGUCAAACCCUGCCUUGCUGCUACUGUUUGGUCUGUGCAGGUAUUGGCUGAAAAUUAAGGGGAAAGUAUGUAUGUGAGCUAUGGAAAAAAACCCCUGUGUUUUAAAAUCCAAGCUGAUGUGUGUUGUGUGCUUCUUCUUGCAGAACUGAGAGAACCCUUGAUGUCUUUAUAGAGGAAGAACCACCACAGUGUGAGCGGCUUAUGAGAACUCAGCUAUAGGAAGAUGAUACUGAGAAAAU